Molecule: long non-coding RNA, 220 nt
Filed under: Lathyrus oleraceus (garden pea)
Lineage: Eukaryota; Viridiplantae; Streptophyta; Magnoliopsida; Fabales; Fabaceae
Description: Pisum sativum (pea) long non-coding RNA (PSAT_LNC039595)
Source: RNAcentral
GUUUGCUUUUUUUUGUUUUAACUUUUUUUUUAAUUUUUUUUUAUUGUGCAGGAAUGGAAAAUCUUUCCAAAAUAUGUGUAGAUACUUCUGAUGCGUUUAUAACGACUAAAAGAUUUGGUACACAAGAAGAGGUGAUCAGAUGGAUUAAAGAGGUUGGAAUCGAUAAUAAAGUAACUGUUAUUAUCAGUCGUUCAGAUACUGAAACAAGGAAGAGAGGGAG